GCCGUGAUUCUUCUUUAAAACAGGCAUAGAUAACAUGUUUUUAUAAAGUCACAUUUAAUUUCUUUGGGUUCACAGACCUCAGACCAUCGUUUAUGGAUCUCUGUGUUAAGAAUUUCUGCUUAUCAAAUGAUCAUUAUGAUAGUAUUUCAAAUGUCUUUAUUUUUAUUUAAAAGAGAUAUGAUUAAGGAAAAGUUAUAAUUAAUGACUUAUUUUGUGCUUCUGUAGUAAACAGUUCAUUUGAAGAUCAUAUCCUGGAAGAUUUAUGUGGAAUGCUCUCACUUCCAUGGAUUUAUUCCCAUUCUGAUGAUGGCUGUUUAAAGUUGACCACAUUUGCCACUAAUCUUCUAACAUUAAGCUGUAGGAUUUCAGAUAGCUAUUCACCACAGGCACAAUCACGAUGUGUGUUUCUUCUGACUCUGUUUCCAAGAAGAAUAUUCCUUGAAUGGAGAACAGCAGUUUACAACUGGGCCCUGCAGAGCUCCCAUGAAGUAAUCCGGGCUAGUUGUGUUAGUGGAUUUUUUAUCUUACUGCAGCAGCAGAAUUCUUGUAACAGAGUUCCCAGGAUUCUUAUAGAUAAAGUCAAAGAUGAUUCUGACAUUGUCAAGAAAGAAUUUGCUUCUAUACUUGGUCAACUUGUCUGU
RNAcentral lists this small RNA (641 nucleotides) under Pan troglodytes (chimpanzee). Its description in RNAcentral is "retained intron". The record is from RNAcentral. Lineage: Eukaryota; Metazoa; Chordata; Mammalia; Primates; Hominidae.